CGUAAGCCCCAUUCCACAACCAAUUAGAGUAGAGCAGUUCCUCUUCAGUGUGAGAGUGUACCUGACGGGUAACGAGAGCGCUCUUUGGGUCUCUUUUCUAUCGCUUGACACUGUCGGUAGAGGAUGUCUGCACAGGUCCCCUGUGCUGCGGUACAACUCCCUAUGCUGUAGAGGAACGACGGGGGCUGUGCUGUAACCAGACGUUGCACCGUUGGGUGGAGGCUGGGCACCAGUGCUCCCCAGGUGGCCACUUGUAUCUGCCAUCCCGUGAAAUGGUGUGUGAGUCACGCGUUCAUCUCAACAAUCCAGGCAAACACUGCUGUGGAAAAGAGACCUUCUACCCUGAGAAUGAAAUCUGCUGCAGUGGACACAAACACCGCACAUUGGGGAACAUGUCCUGCUGCGGAGGGAAGGCCUACGACCCCAGCAGUGGCCAGAUGAAGUGCUGUGCAGAGACUCUGUACAACCUGCAGGUUCAGGACAGGCUCUCCGAGGAGGCCCAAUGCUGUGGGAAUGUCCUGAUGGAGGCCGGCUCCACCCAGACCUGCUGCUCUGCCCCAGGGCUAGACCUGCUCUACCCUACCCAGCCAGGGUUCACCUGCUGUGGGCACCGCUACCCCAAUUCCUCCCUGUGGUCUUGCUGUGCGGGGGUCCUGCACCCAAGGACUGAACGAAACACCACCAGCAUGAACAUGAUUCCAGGACCCAGGCUUCUACCACUGGGGGAUUUGAAGAAGGAAGAUCUAUGUUACACCGAAGUUUUGCUAGGGACAGUGGAGAGUGUGUCUGUGAAUAAGAAUAAGCGAUCCAUCGUGAUGGUGAACGUCAUGUCCAUGCAGGCCUGCCGUGGCCAUGUCAACGCUCUGCCUUCCCCUCAAUACCUCACAUUACCCGACCACUGCAGCUCUCCUGAAUUGGUGCCGGGCAACACUUACCUCUGGGUGAAAACAAGACAUUUCUCAGACACCAUAAACGUAAUCUCUGAUCUCAGCGACCAUUCCUCCCCUCUCCAUUCCAUCCUCUUCAGGUGCUCAAAAUGA
This 1040-nucleotide long non-coding RNA is filed under the name Salmo trutta (river trout). RNAcentral's name for it is "lncRNA (ENSSTUG00000022979.1)". The record is from RNAcentral. Lineage: Eukaryota; Metazoa; Chordata; Actinopteri; Salmoniformes; Salmonidae.